Molecule: ribosomal RNA, 428 nt
Filed under: uncultured Haliangium sp.
Lineage: Bacteria; Pseudomonadati; Myxococcota; Haliangiales; Kofleriaceae
Description: bacterial SSU rRNA
Rfam family: Bacterial small subunit ribosomal RNA
Source: RNAcentral
UGGGGAAUAUUGGGCAAUGGGCGAAAGCCUGACCCAGCCACGCCGCGUGAGUGAUGAAGGCCUUCGGGUCGUAAAGCUCUGUGGGGAGGGACGAAUAAGCUGGGUGCUAACAUCACCUGGCCCUGACGGUACCUCCUUAGCAAGCACCGGCUAACCCUGUGCCAGCAGCCGCGGUAAUACAGGGGGUGCAAACGUUGCUCGGAAUCAUUGGGCGUAAAGCGCACGUAGGCGGUCUGUUAUGUCGGAUGUGAAAGCCCUUGGCUCAACUGAGGAAGUGCAUCCGAAACUGGCAGGCUAGAGUACUAAAGAGGGUCGCGGAAUUCCCGGUGUAGAGGUGAAAUUCGUAGAUAUCGGGAGGAACACCGGUGGCGAAGGCGGCGACCUGGGUAGAUACUGACGCUGAGGUGCGAAAGCGUGGGGAGCAAACA